GCACUGAAGACGGCCUGCAAACCCAUCGCGUCGAGGUUGAAGAAGGAAGCGGGUCGGCAUCCCAGGUUCCGAAAUUUCAUCGUCAACAUCGCUCAGGUCCUGGCUAUUUCAUUGAGGUAUUAUUCUGGUCAUUCAUCUCUAAUUUGAGUUCACAUUCAUGAAGUAUCUCGGCUAUGAAAAGUCACAGCGUGAUGAAGAAAGAAUUAAACACGUCAAGAAGAAAGCAAUAGAAUAUGCAGAGAGCUUGAAAUGAACCUGUUUGUGAAAUUGGAUUUGUUGCAGAGAGCUUGAAAUGAAUCUGUUUGUGAACCUGUAUAACAUUCUAAUGGGAGUAAUCUUGCUCCAUUUUUUUUUGAUGCGUAUGUAUGUAGAAUGACAUUGUAGCCAUUCAUUAUUUUGAAAGAAUUUCACUUAAAAGAGUACAA
Long non-coding RNA from Asparagus officinalis (garden asparagus), 425 nucleotides. RefSeq lists it as uncharacterized. The record is from RefSeq and is a predicted model, not a curated record. Lineage: Eukaryota; Viridiplantae; Streptophyta; Magnoliopsida; Asparagales; Asparagaceae. The transcript has 3 exons.